UUUACUCAAAAUGUGAUUAGUGAAACUCUGAGAAUGGCAAACAUAAUCAAUGGGGUCUGGAGAAAAGCUCUCAAGGAUGUUCAAAACUUCAAAUCAAAGGUUACUUGAUACCUAAGGG
Molecule: long non-coding RNA, 118 nt
Organism: Papaver somniferum (opium poppy)
Lineage: Eukaryota; Viridiplantae; Streptophyta; Magnoliopsida; Ranunculales; Papaveraceae
Exons: 3
Source: RefSeq, a predicted model, not a curated record